Non-coding RNA from Gossypium raimondii (Peruvian cotton), 87 nucleotides. The record is from Rfam. Lineage: Eukaryota; Viridiplantae; Streptophyta; Magnoliopsida; Malvales; Malvaceae.
CACGUCAGCGCGCUUUGCUGACGUGACAACAUAUCGCGUCCACGAAGGGGCGAUUUGUUGCCACGUCAGGAAAGCGCGUUGACGUGG